AUGAUCAUAAAUGUGCAAAUUUUUUUAAUGCAAGUUAAACAAAGCAUAUACAGGAUAGAGUUGUACAGUGCUAAGGGAACAUACGGUAUUCUAGGUAUCCUUAUGAUGUUUCAUAUCUACAGCCAGUGCAAACUUAAAAGGCACAAACUCAAUGCUGACACUGUAGUGCUGUAAGUUACAUUCAGGCACUAAAGUGCCAGCCUUUUCUCAAAAUUUAAGCUCUAAAUUGAUGUAGUCUAUAUCCAAUAGAUAGCAGUAGGGUUCUGAGUUAAUCCAUCACUGGAAAGUUUGCUGCUAGAUCAUCUGUUAUCCUUUUCUCAGGUCUGAAAGUAUGCUAUUUCCCCAAACACCUCCCUUAGUCCAAAGACUACCUAUACCUUGCAGGCCUUGACAUAUAGAAUCUUACAGGAUACUAUUCAUACUUUUUUCUAACUUUAGUUAAAUUCCUGCAGAAAGUAUAUCCAGAAUAAAAAAAACCAAAAAACCA
Molecule: long non-coding RNA, 487 nt
Filed under: Dromaius novaehollandiae (emu)
Lineage: Eukaryota; Metazoa; Chordata; Aves; Casuariiformes; Dromaiidae
Description: lncRNA (ENSDNVG00000018126.1)
Source: RNAcentral